GAAGCAGCCAUCAUUUAAAGAAAGCGUAAUAGCUCACUGGUCGAGUCGGCCUGCGCGGAAGAUGUAACGGGGCUAAACCAUGCACCGAAGCUGCGGCAGCGACGCUUAUGCGUUGUUGGGUAGGGGAGCGUUCUGUAAGCCGUUGAAGGUGUGCUGUGAGGCAUGCUGGAGGUAUCAGAAGUGCGAAUGCUGACAUAAGUAACGAUAAAGCG
Molecule: ribosomal RNA, 212 nt
Filed under: Enterobacter hormaechei
Lineage: Bacteria; Pseudomonadati; Pseudomonadota; Gammaproteobacteria; Enterobacterales; Enterobacteriaceae
Description: partial 23S ribosomal RNA
Rfam family: Bacterial large subunit ribosomal RNA
Source: RNAcentral